GGACUACUCGGGUAUCUAAUCCUGUUUGCUACCCACGCUUUCGCUCCUCAGCGUCAGUUCCGGCCCAGAGCGCCGCCUUCGCCGCUGGUGUUCCUCCUGAUAUCUGCGCAUUUCACCGCUACACCAGGAAUUCCACGCUCCCCUACCGGACUCUAGCCACAGCAGUAUCGGGUGGUGCCCCAGGUUGAGCCUGAGGAUUUGACACCCGACUUACCGAGCCGCCUACGAGCUCUUUACGCCCAAUAAAUCCGGACAACGCUUGCCCCCUACGUGUUACCGCGGCGGCUGGCAC
RNAcentral lists this ribosomal RNA (292 nucleotides) under uncultured bacterium. RNAcentral's name for it is "partial 16S ribosomal RNA". The record is from RNAcentral.